Molecule: ribosomal RNA, 464 nt
Filed under: uncultured bacterium
Lineage: Bacteria
Description: partial 16S ribosomal RNA
Rfam family: Bacterial small subunit ribosomal RNA
Source: RNAcentral
GACGAACGCUGGCGGCGUGCUUAACACAUGCAAGUCGAACGGAAAGGCCCUGCUGGCUGGGUCUUCGAGUGGCGAACGGGCGAGUAACAGGUGGGUGAUUUGCCCUGUACUUUGGGUUAAGCCUGGAAAACGGGGACCAUACCCGAAUAGGGCCUAUUUCCUGCGUGUUGGUUGGAAAGUUUUUCGGGUGUGGGAUGAUUUCGUGGCCCAAUGGCGGGUUGGGGGGGUAUUGGCCUACCAAGGCGGCGACGGGUCGCCGGCCUGGGGGGGUGGACGGCCACAUUGGGCCUGGGGUACGGCCCAGACUCCUACGGGAGGCAGCAGUGGGAAAUAUGGCACAAUGGGCGCAAGCCUGAUGCAGCGACGCCGCGUGGGGGAUGACGUCCUUCGGGUUGUAAACUCCUUUCGCUAGGGACGAAGCUUUUUGUAACGGUACCUAGAUAAGAGGCACCGGCUAACUACGG